Molecule: ribosomal RNA, 1190 nt
Filed under: uncultured Sebacinales
Lineage: Eukaryota; Fungi; Basidiomycota; Agaricomycetes; Sebacinales
Description: eukaryotic LSU rRNA
Source: RNAcentral
AAGGAUCAUUAAUGAAACUUCAAAGUCGGCCAAAGGUUGUUGCUGGUGAUUAUUCACAUGUGCACGCCUUUGGUCGCAAAUCCACACACACCUGUGCAUCUAUGACUCGAGGUUGUAAUGACUGAGAGUAACUUUUACACACUCUUGUAUGUAAUGGAAUGUCUUUUUGUGCUAUAAUGUACAAUAUAAACAACUUUCAACAACGGAUCUCUUGGCUCUCGCAUCGAUGAAGAACGCAGCGAAAUGCGAUAAGUAAUGUGAAUUGCAGAAUUCAGUGAAUCAUCGAAUCUUUGAACGCACCUUGCACCCUUUGGUAUUCCGAAGGGUACGCCCGUUUGAGUGUCAUUGUAAUCUCACUUCUACAACUUUAUUGUUGUUUGAAUGUGGACUUGGAUGUUGCCGUUUUAUCACGGCUCGUCUUAAAUGCCUGAGUGUACCCUGUUUUGCAGCGUAUCCAGUGUAAUAAAACAUUUCACUAGAGUUGGUCGAAAGACCGCGUUGACUAUAUGGGCUCUAUGCUUCAARCCGUCUGCCAUGUGGACAAUUUCUUGACAAUUUGACCUCAAAUCGGGUGGGACUACCCGCUGAACUUAAGCAUAUCAAUAAGCGGAGGAAAAGAAACUAACAAGGAUUCCCCUAGUAACGGCGAGUGAAGAGGGAAAAGCUCAAAUUUUAAAUCUGGUGUCUUUGACUCCCGAGUUGUAAUCUAGAGAAGUGUUUUCCGUGUCGGACCGUGUACAAGUUCCCUGGAACGGGGCGUCAUAGAGGGUGAGAAUCCCGUAUAUGCCACGGACUACCGAUGCUCUGUGAUACACUCUCAACGAGUCGAGUUGUUUGGGAAUGCAGCUCAAAAUGGGUGGUAAAUUCCAUCUAAAGCUAAAUAUUGGCGAGAGACCGAUAGCGAACAAGUACCGUGAGGGAAAGAUGAAAAGCACUUUGGAAAGAGAGUGAAACAGUACGUGAAAUUGUUGAAAGGGAAGCGUUUGAAGUCAGUCGCAUCUGUUGGGGUUCAGCCUGGCUUUUGCCUGGUGUAUUUCCUUUCCGAUGGGUCAGCAUCAGUUUCGACCGAGGGAAAAAGACAUUUGGAAUGUGGCUGUCUUCGGGCAGUGUUAUAGCCUUGUGUUGUAUGUCUCGGUUGGGACUGAGGAUUGCAGCGCGCCAUAAAUGGCCGGGGGUCGCUCCUCUCGACA